UUCCGGUUGAUCCUGCCGGACCCCACUGCUAUCGGGAUAGGACUAAGCCAUGCUAGUCGUGCGCCUUCUAGCCAUGAUGGAGGCGCGGCACACAGCUCAGUAGCACGUGGCUAACCUGCCCUUGGGACGGAAGCACCCCCGGGAAACUGGGGCUAAUUUCUGAUAGGUGAAGGCUUCUGGAAUGGACUUUCGCCUAAAGGACGCUUGGAUCAUGCUUCUAGGCGUUGCCCAAGGAUGGGGCCGCGGCCGAUCAGGUUGUUGGUGAGGUAAUGGCUCACCAAGCCUAUAACCGGUGCGGGCCGUGGGAGCGGGAGCCCGGAGAUGGGCACUGAGACAAGGGCCCAGGCCCUACGGGGCGCAGCAGGCGCGAAAACUUCGCAAUAAGCGAAAGCUUGACGGGGUUAUCCCGAGUGCCAUCCGCUGAGGAUGGCUUUUCUCUAGUAUAGAUAGCUGGGGGAAUAAGGAGAGGGCAAGUCUGGUGUCAAGCCCGCGCGGUAAUACCAGCUCUUCGAGUGGUGUGGACGAUUAUUGGGCCUAAAGCAUUCCGUAGCCGGCUGGGCAAAGU
Molecule: ribosomal RNA, 565 nt
Filed under: uncultured archaeon
Lineage: Archaea
Description: SSU rRNA
Rfam family: Archaeal small subunit ribosomal RNA
Source: RNAcentral